CUGGGAGGUCUGGGACAUCAUACUGCUUGUUUUUUCAAGCACUCUUCUGUAGCAAAAGUAAUACCAGGAGUGGAAGGCCUUCCCUGGGCAGCCAGCAGAGGGGAGGAAGUACUGGGGUCUGCUGGCACAGCAGAGCUUGCCAAGGGAGAUCUCGAGUCCAGAUCUGGCUGGUUGCAGCAGUUUUGUUAUGGCAUUAUGCAAAGUCCUUUGAAGAUUUCCUCUUGGCAGAGCCUGCCGCGUCAUCACAGAGGUAGAGCAGGGAAUGAUCUAAAUCUUGUUAGGCGUUGUGAAGCAGUCAGAACAGCUGGCUGCAAAAUUAGCCCCUCAACAAAGAAGGAAGCGAGGGGGUUGUAAGCCUGAAAGAGUAGGGGUGAGGCUGUUAGUGAUACAGGACACAGUGCAGCAGGGGGCUGGGGCAGGUUGGCUCUGGCUUGAGAUGUGAAUGAAAGCAAGUGAAGGUGAGUUAAGGUAUUCAGGGAAAGGGGAGAUGAGCACAAUGAAGUCGAUAUAUGGAACAGCUCCUUUUUCUGAAGUUCCACGAUGUUCACCUAAGUGCAGUGAUCUUCAUGUCCUUCUAAUUCCCCUCUUUGCAAUCUCACAAAUCAAGGGGAUGGCUUUGCUUUUACCUGCUGUUGCAUACUGUUGGUAACUCACGGUGGUCUCCCAAGGUGACUGCCCACACCUGGGGCUGGUCAUGCUCUGACUGUGCAGGUGACAGAGCCUUGGCCAGGACACAUUCUGUGCUUGUGUUCCUGCCAUUUCCCCUCACUCUGGGGUGUCACAUCCUCAGGGCCCCAGCACAGAGGUCUUUAGCUUCACAGCGAUGUCUUUCACACCUUCCCCACCAUAUGCUUCUCUUGCUUCCCUUUCCUGCCAAAGUACAUCCCCAACUUCUCUGUCCGCAUUUGCUCCUCCUCUGUCUCUAAUGAGGCAAAUGUUAAAGCUCAGCAAAGGAUAUCUGUUGAGCUCUGAGGAUUGCUGGUGGGAGAAACCCCACGGGUGGCUGAAAAUGUUUCAGCAUCCCCCUUCUUACUUUUCAUUUACAUCUCGUCUCUGCAGAGUGGGUAGUGUUCCUUGGAAACAGCAACACUUAUAUACGUUACUAUAUUACUUAUAUACAUUAACUAUAUUACAUAUAGUACGAGGGCUGCUCCGAAUGUAGUACCUCCCAUUUUAUGAUGUCAACCUACAAAGUCAGAGGCAGAUGUUGGUGGUGUGACAGUAGAGGUUGAACCUUCUCACUAAUAUUCCAUUACAUGUUGUUGCCACGUGACAGAUGGCAGCAAGAGGGGCAGUCUGACAGAAUGGCACUUGAAGAAGAUGGAAGAGCAUAUGAAGCAAAGGUAUGUCACUGAAUUCCUCCGUGUGGAAAAAAUGGCACCCAUUGACAUUCAUCAGUGCUGGCUGAACAUUUAUGGAGACCAAACAGUAGAUGUGAGCACAGUGAGUGAUGUUACGACAGCAGCAGUGGGUCACUUGCGCUAGUACAGACUGUUACGUGCAUGGCAUAGAGGUUCUUGUUCAUUGCUAGUGAAGAUGGAUAGCUAAUGAUGGUGACUAUGAUGAAAAAGAAUGUCUUGUAGCUGAGAAUUUGCUCUAUCAAAUACUGUUGUUGUGCUCUUUGUAUCUGCUGUAGUUUCCACGGAAAUAAGAAGGCAUUACUUUUGGAACAACCACUGUAGAUGCAGCCCUGGAUAAUUCCUCUUCACCCAAUGUGGCCCAGCGACCAGCAGCAGAGACGCUGUCCUGCCCGUCCCACAUUGUUUUCCCUGUGGCUUGGAAAGCCCAAAAGUCUCUGGUGAAACCUUUGAAAGCUGCUUCUUUAAAGGGCCUGAAAACCUCCACCCCAGCAAAACCCCCAGGCUGGGGCUCUUCACUGAAGACCCACGUUGCAUCCGAGGACAAGGCUUUUUCUUCCCAAGGGGGUCCUGCUGUGCGUGGAAAUAUGAAAGAUGCCCUCGAAAAGAAACAAACCCUUCAGGUUGCAGUAGAGACGGAGUGGGGCUGAACAUCAAUUUCAGCUUUCAAGUGACUUUACGCUGUCUCCUUGAUUGACUUGCCAGUUUUAAUACUGUAAAUUGAGGGAUUGCGUGUAAUGCAUUCAUGCCGUUCUUGUCUGGAAUGAAGCAGGAACAUAAUUUAUGGGGAUAUUCUCAUCUCAGCCUUUGAGGAAUUAGCUUCAAUUAACUCUGUUGGGAAUUGCAUGUGUCGGGUGUCAGAAAGCCAUCAAGUUUUCUUUAGAAAUGCCUGCUGCUGCGCACAUUUCAUUCUUUGGCUGUCUGAAGGGUUUUAGCAGUGGAUAAGGAUUCAAAGCUUGGGAAACUCAGAUCCGGGUGACCAAGUUUCACAGGGUUAAUACAGAGCACGGAUGAUGGACAGGGCUGCAGCCCAUUAGGAUUUAUAGCCCUCCAGUACGAGCAGGAGAGUUUUGGGGGAGGGUCGAGCAGCUCCUGAACCCAGUGUGCAGAAUGAGCAAACAAACCAGGAGACAGGCUGGAAAAUAAGAUCUCGGUGGAUAAAUCUUACUGACACCCAUGAGAAUAAGAAAGAGCAUUGGCUUCGGGUGCCAUUUUGAAACAGAGACUCCUCAGCACUGGGUUUCUGUGCUGGUGGGGACAGAUUCAGGCAGAGAUGUCUGAUGCUUCUUGAAGGCCAAAAAUCCCCCCUCCUGGCCCUUAAUCAGCACUUCAUUAUCAGCUGCCACCCCCAGAUCAGCCACCAGCCUCACUUUGUGGGUGCAAACUGUUUCCCAGAGAUGCCCUCACACCUAAAGGGCCAAUUCUCCAUCCCCAGCUUAUCCCGAGGAUUAAAAACCCACCCAAGCGCCAUCUGAGCAAAUCCAAACCAGGAAUCCUAAUCAGUUCUGUUGCUAAAAGUGCAUUAAUGCGACACAAGAGAGAGCGUGGCUUUCUUCCAGCGGAUCCAACAAUCACAGCUCAUUUGGGUGAGGGAUUUUUCUGCUGCUGUGUAUUGACACAAAGGAGCACUUAGCUUGAUAAUGCCUCCUGGCUGCUGCCACGAUGCGAAUAUUAAGAACAAAUUAAGGUGUAAGACUAAGCUCUAGGUGUUGUUACCUGUUCACGGUGAGGUAGCAGUUGCUUCUUUAGCUUUUUCACACCAAAAUAUUGGCUCUCAGCGCUCAGGAGUUUAAAAAUAAAAUUGAGCUCCUACCUAUCGCAGGAAACAAUUAGGAUGCGAGGUCUCUUUUUAAUAUUUCUUCUGUGGUGUUUCUAAUCUGCAGUUUAAUCUGACAUGGUGUGAAGUAGGACCGGCUGCAAUCCCCAUGAAUCCAGCUGGUCGGGAUGACUUGCUCACUGAGCUGGUUGAAAGCAGUGCGGACACAGCAGCUCGCAUAAAUUGAAUGCCAGCUUGAUGUUUGUCAUGGCCACAGAAAUCCUGAGGCUGAGACUGGUGUCAGCAUGGGGAUUGUCCUGCACCAGAGUUCUGCUGCCUGGACUGGCUGAUCUUGGGGUGUUUGCCACUCUGAAUCCCACUUAGGGUGGCAGUGGCAAAGGUGAAAGUAGUUGCUCAAAUUCUCCGAAGUCAAACUGUAUUGACCCUCAGUUAGGUGUAAAGUUUGUUUGCCUACAUGUACCCUUGACAUGACACCUAACUGAGUGGUGCAGCUGAUAGAUCAGAAGGAAGGGAUGGCACCCAGGAGGACCUGGGCAGGCUUUAAAAGUGGGCCCACAUGAAACCAGUGAAGUUCAACAAGGCCAAGUGCAAGGUACUACUCUUGAAUCAGGAUGAUCCCAGCUGUGGGUACUGGGAGAAGAACUCAUUGUGAGCAGCCCUGCCGAAAAGAACAUGGGGGUUCUGGUGGACAAGAAGCUGAGCAUGAGCCUGCAGUGUGUGCUUGCAGCCCAGAAGACCAGCUGUGUCCUGGGCUGCAUCAAGAGAGGGGUGACACUGGGACAAGGAGGGGAUUGUCCCCCUCUGUUCUGCCUUUGUGAGGCUUCAUCUGCAGUACUGCAUCCAGGCCUGGGGCCUCCAGCACAGAAAGGAUGAGGAGCUGUUAGAGCAGGUCCAGAAGAUUCCACAAAGAUGCUUAGAGGGAUGAAGCACCUCUUCCAUGAAGAAAGGUUGAAGGAAGUGGGCUUGUUCAGCCUGGAGAAGAGAAGGCUCCAGGGAGACCUUAUCGUGGCCUUGCAGUACUUGAUGGGAGAUUAUAAGCAGGAGGGAGACUGGCUUUUUACACAGUCUGAUAGUGGUAUGAUAAGAGGGAAUGGCUUUAUGAGGGGAGAUUUAGGUUAGAUGUUAGAAAGAAUUUUUUUACUCAGAGGAUGGUGAGGCUCUGGCACUGCUGCCCAGAGCUGUGGGUGCCCCAUUACCAACCAAAGCCAUUCUGUCAUUAAUAGUUGCAGAAAGAUGAGUGAUUGGGAUGAAAGAGGUGUCUUCUGGGUUACUGAGUGCUGGCGACAAAGCUGGCCAAACACCCUGCCUCCAGAAAUGAUCUCAGCAGUAUGUGCAGCAUAGUCAAACCUAGGGGACUGGAAGGAACAGGGAGAAAUGAGCAACAGAACAAAGCUAGGCUUGCUUUGGAAAUACUUCAGCUAAGUAAACACAUCUAAAACUAAUCUGCUCUCUAGUGAGACGGGGAAGCUGGAAAAAGCAUGGUGAAGCUUUGGUGGCUGACCAUAUGAAGGAUGAGUUCUAGGAGAUGACAGAACAGCUGCUGGGUGACAGGCUGGGAUGUACACGCUCAGUGCUGGGGAGAACAUGGGCUGCAAGUCCAUUGGCUUUCUGACCCUUCUGGGUGGCACCUUGUCCCCUCCUUGGCACCCGCCUACAACACGGCGGUGAUGAGUGGCAGGAAUUUGGAGAAUAGCACCGGCAGUGUGCUGGAGAGGAUGUGCUGGAGAGGAUGAUUUACGUAUGCAAUGCUGACAAGGAGAUGUGUGCAUAGCUUAGCUAAGCACCAGUCUGACACUGGAGGAGAGGAGGGGAGAGGUUAGGUAAGAGCAGCAGUCAUUGGAAAGCCUGAAGUGCUGGUAAGGAAGGAGGGAUAUUUUCGUUGGUGAGAGAGAGAAUGAGGAAAACAAUGGCAUGGCAACCAACAAAGAAAAGUGCAGUGAGGACAUCUGAUAUGGCAUUUAAUGGCUUUCCAAAGGGAAUGGCUGAAGUUCCAUAAACACAAAAUUUGAACAUUACACAGCAAAUAUGGUGUCAGGAAUUGUCCGGGGAUGAGGAUGGAGAGGAAUUUGGAAGCUUCCCCCACCCUGCUUUGACAAUUGCCCUGCAGCAUCCUGCCCUACCCAGCGGUACCGGAGGACUGCUUGUUCUUAGCAGCCCUGGCAGCAUGAAGUGAAACAUCUUCCUUCCAAAGAUACAGGGGGAUUUGGGAAGAGAUCUCCUCCAGGCAGGUGAACUCCAGUAGGCUUCAGUGUGAGAUCCUCAGCUUCUGACAGAAGAGCAAUUUGCCACACUUCUAUCACUGAGGGACCAAGAACAUGUGGACCACUGUUGCAUGAGCAGUAGGUGGCUGCUCGAGGAGAACAUCUCACCUCUAAGCACGUGACAGAGUGUGCCAGGAGGAGACAAUGCUGUGCUGGUAUGUGUGAGCUGCACAGGG
Long non-coding RNA from Gallus gallus (chicken), 5572 nucleotides. The record is from Ensembl. Lineage: Eukaryota; Metazoa; Chordata; Aves; Galliformes; Phasianidae.